GAUGAACGCUGGCGGCGUGCCUAAUACAUGCAAGUCGAGCGAACAGACGAGGAGCUUGCUCCUCUGACGUUAGCGGCGGACGGGUGAGUAACACGUGGAUAACCUACCUAUAAGACUGGGAUAACUUCGGGAAACCGGAGCUAAUACCGGAUAAUAUAUUGAACCGCAUGGUUCAAUAGUGAAAGACGGUUUUGCUGUCACUUAUAGAUGGAUCCGCGCCGCAUUAGCUAGUUGGUAAGGUAACGGCUUACCAAGGCGACGAUGCGUAGCCGACCUGAGAGGGUGGACGGGCACACUGGAACUGAGACACGGUACAGACUCCUACGGGAGGCAGCAGUAGGGAAUCUUCCGCAAUGGGCGAAAGCCUGACGGAGCAACGCCGCGUGAAUGAUGAAGGUCAUCGGAUCGUAAAACUCUGUUAUUAGGGAAGAACAAAUGUGUAAGUAACUAUGCACGUCUUGACGGUACCUAAUCAGAAAGCCACGGCUAACUACGUG
RNAcentral lists this ribosomal RNA (497 nucleotides) under uncultured bacterium. Its description in RNAcentral is "partial 16S ribosomal RNA". It matches the Rfam family "Bacterial small subunit ribosomal RNA", at positions 28 to 507 of the family's 1533-position model. The record is from RNAcentral.